GUGUCAGCCGCCGCGGUAAUACGUAGGUGGCAAGCGUUGACCGGAAUUAUUGGGCGUAAAGCGCGCGCAGGCGGUUUCUUAAGUCUGAUGUGAAAGCCCACGGCUUAACCGUGGAGGGUCAUUGGAAACUGGGAGACUUGAGUGCAGAAGAGGAAAGUGGAAUUCCACGUGUAGCGGUGAAAUGCGUAGAGAUGUGAAGGAACACCAGUGGCGAAGGCCACUUCCUGGGCUGCAACUGACGCUGAUGCGCGAAAGCAUGGGGAGCAAACAGGAUUAGAUACCCUGGUAGUCCAUGCCUUAAACGAUGAGUGCUGAGUGUUAGGGGGUUU
This 329-nucleotide ribosomal RNA is filed under the name uncultured bacterium. RNAcentral describes it as "bacterial SSU rRNA". It matches the Rfam family "Bacterial small subunit ribosomal RNA", at positions 505 to 833 of the family's 1533-position model. The record is from RNAcentral.